This 1731-nucleotide long non-coding RNA is filed under the name Triticum aestivum (bread wheat). RNAcentral describes it as "long non-coding RNA (TAES_LNC027606)". The record is from RNAcentral. Lineage: Eukaryota; Viridiplantae; Streptophyta; Magnoliopsida; Poales; Poaceae.
AAGGUAUGUGAUAAAAUCAUCCUGCUUGGGUAAAUUUGUCGUCACACCACAACUGAAGCUGAGUUGGAAUGCUUAGAACAGAGCCACGUUUGAAAGUGUGCAACAUCAUAUAAUUUUGAACUGAAGCUUCCUUGUUGUGCGUUAACAAACAUGUUAUAUUGUUGAUUUGCAAGAUCAUAGGCUUUCACAUAUCAUGUUUCAACUUUGCAGGUCAUAAUGUUGUACCGAGGGCAUAAAGUUGUAUCCAGGAUGGGCUUGCACCUGGUUGAGGUAGUGCUGCAUUUCCUUCUUCAAUUGUUUGAGCCCAAGUUUUAGCAUUUUCUUGAGAUUCUUCUUCAAUUGUUUGUGCGCGACUGUCAGCAUUUCCAUUUCUCAUGGUUAUCUUGUCACCUCCCAUGCAGGUCCAUCGGAAAUAGGACCAUCCUGCUUGCAAGAUCAUGGACUUCCACAAAGACAAGUAUAACAAGGAUGUCAAGUAGAAAGAGCACGUAAAAACCAAGGUAUGUGUGUUGUGCCAUCACUACUGACGCUGAGUUGAGAUGCUUAGAGCACAGCAAAUAUAUUCCAUGUGCUGGCUAUUUUAUUUGUAAAGAAUUUUGUUUUUCUCAAGGGAAGGGAGGAGUAAAUGAGAUGGUGGGAUUGACUCUAACCUGUCAAUCUGCUGGUUUUGAUGGCUGUAGUAUGUGUUGUUCAGUUGCAACAUAAGACAUGGUUGUGCAUGUUUUGAUCCUUGUUGUGGAAUCGAAACAACUCCUUGUAUAGUUUAUUUGAUUAUUACUGCCAGUAUUCUGCAUGUGAGCCAUGGUGUUGAUUUCAAGUGGAAGAACCGCUGUCCGUUGUUUUCAGGGUCCAAGAAGUAUGUUUUCUUGUAUUUAGUUUUUGUUUUGACCUUGUGAAACUUGCUACCUAUGGAUGAAACUGUGUAAUAUUGAUGAAACUAUGUAUAUGUACGGAUGAAACUUGCUACUAUUGGUAACAUGGUUGGAUACAUAUGUGUUCAUGACUAUUGGUAAUAUGUGUUGAAUAUGCUAUAUUGGUCAUAUAAAUAUAUUUGUGUUUGAUUUCUGUGAAAAUGAAUUGAUAUAAGAAAAAUCAAAAUUAAAUGGGGCAAUAUAGUCACUUUGCCAUCUACUGGCAGAUGGCAAAGAGCUUUGCCAUCAGCUGGCAGAUGGCAAAGAGGCCACGUGUCAUGUUUGGGCUGGCCUAUUUGGGCUCUUUGCCAUCAGCUGGCAGACGGCAAACAGCCUGCAGCCUUUGCCAUCUGCUGGUAGAUGGCAAAGUAUGUUGUUAGCCUUCUAACGGGGCUAACCCCGUUAAGAGGCUUUGCCAUCUGCCAGCAGAUGGCAAAGCCACAGGCUCUUUGCCAUCAGCCAGCAGAUGGCAAAGCCACAGGCUCUUUGCCAUCAGCCAGCAGACGGCAAAGAAGCCUUUACCGGCAGGGUUUCGGACGACUGGUUUGCCAUCUGCUGGCAGAUGGCAAAGCCUUUGCCAUCCGCCGAUCAUGCCUUUGCCAUCUGCCAUGGCAGAUGGCAAACUGCCAGAUUCCAGUAGUGAGUAUGUAUAACAGUAGCCCCUGAGACUUGAAACGGUUGGAACAACAGUUUUAAGUAUCAAUUUAUGCGCAGGUUCUUGUAGAUAAGGAUGAGCAAUUGUCUCGGGAGCUGGAAGAGUGCAAGACCCAACUAAGGGUCACAAUUGCCAAGCUAGAGGAAUCCCAGAAGGCCUCAUACG